UGCAUGAUUAGCUUCGGUGCUUCAGCAGACCGAGACCGCGGCUUCGGAACAUCGAGCACGGAGCAUAGACGGCACUGGGAGGGGCGAGAGAGGAGCGGGAAGGGCGGAUGGGGUUCUCUCAGUACGUUCACCCCUGCAGUAGUAACCUCGUGAGUGUGGGCAGCGUGUGUUGACCUCUGGGACCAAAAGUGUGCCCGUGGUGUCGCUUGAAGAGGAGGAGGAGGAGCUGUGGGUUCGAGUGUUGCCUGGCGAGUCUUUCCUCUGAGUAUUCCUUCUCCUGAGUUUCAAUAGGUGAGCGGGUGCCACGACCUUGACUGCCACAGGUGGAGGCGCUCACAGCUCGUCCUCCAGGUGAUGGGCAACACCCGUCAUUACACAAGAGACCAAAGAAAAAGAGGAGGACGAGAAAAAAAAAGAUAUUGAAUUCCUGAAGAAGUAGAUGACGAAGGGAAGACAACGCCUGCACCUCGCAUUCCUCCUUCACCACGUGAUCUACCUCAUCAAAAAUAACGUGGAAGAAGCGAACAUGAAGACACCCAAACAUACCAACACCUCGAAGUGCCUCUGCCUCCUCUCGCCCACCUCACUCACAGAUUCCUCGCUUCGCCCUCCCUCCCCACGCUCGCCUCGCCCUUCCUCCAUCUCAGGGAGGAAAACAAGUGAUGGAUUCCUGCAGGUGUGGCUUGACUAACUUCAUCUUCUUGCUGCAGGUGAGGAUGUGUAUUUUGCUUCCAGUGCGAGUUAUUGCCAGCUA
Long non-coding RNA from Portunus trituberculatus (swimming crab), 754 nucleotides. RefSeq lists it as uncharacterized. The record is from RefSeq and is a predicted model, not a curated record. The transcript is spliced from 3 exons. NCBI's taxonomy places the organism in Eukaryota, Metazoa, Arthropoda, Malacostraca, Decapoda, Portunidae.